RNAcentral lists this ribosomal RNA (497 nucleotides) under uncultured bacterium. Its description in RNAcentral is "partial 16S ribosomal RNA". It matches the Rfam family "Bacterial small subunit ribosomal RNA", at positions 28 to 507 of the family's 1533-position model. The record is from RNAcentral.
GAUGAACGCUGGCGGCGUGCCUAAUACAUGCAAGUCGAGCGAACAGACGAGGAGCUUGCCCCACUGCCGGUAGCGGCGGACGGGAGAGUAACACGUGGAUCACCUACCUAUAAGUCUGGGAUAACUUCGGGAAACCGGAGCUAAUACCGGAUAAUAUAUCCUACCGCAAGAUUCACUAGUGCAAGACGGUUUUCCUGAUACUAAUAGACGGUUCCGCGCCGCAUUAGCUAGUUGGUAAGGUAACGGCAUACCAAGGCUACGAUGCUGAGCCGACCUGAGAGGAUGAUCAGCCACACUGGAACUGAGACACGGUCCAGACUCCUACGGGAGGCAGCAGUAGGGAAUGUUCCACAAUGGGCGAAAGCCUGACACAGCAACACCGCGUGAGUGAAGAAGGUCUUCGGGUUGUAAAGCUCUUUUAUUAGGAAAGAAAAAAAGUGUAAGUAUAUAUGCACGUCUUGACGGUACCUAAACAGAAAGCUACGGCUAACUACGUG